AUUGAACGCUGGCGGCAUGCUUUACACAUGCAAGUCGAACGGGGUGAGGGGGCAACUCCUCAUUCAGUGGCGAACGGGUGAGUAAUGCAUCGGAACGUGUCCCGUAGUGGGGGAUAACUCGGCGAAAGCCGUGCUAAUACCGCAUAUGCUCUACGGAGGAAAGUGGGGACCUGCAAGGGCCUCACGCUAUGGGAGCGGCCGAUGUCCGAUUAGCUUGUUGGCGGGGUAAUGGCCCACCAAGGCGACGAUCGGUAGCUGGUCUGAGAGGAUGAUCAGCCACACUGGGACUGAGACACGGCCCAGACUCCUACGGGAGGCAGCAGUGGGGAAUUUUGGACAAUGGGGGCAACCCUGAUCCAGCCAUGCCGCGUGCGGGAAGAAGGCCU
RNAcentral lists this ribosomal RNA (386 nucleotides) under uncultured bacterium. RNAcentral's name for it is "bacterial SSU rRNA". It matches the Rfam family "Bacterial small subunit ribosomal RNA", at positions 30 to 417 of the family's 1533-position model. The record is from RNAcentral.